RNAcentral lists this ribosomal RNA (598 nucleotides) under Megaporus howittii. Its description in RNAcentral is "SSU rRNA". It matches the Rfam family "Eukaryotic small subunit ribosomal RNA", at positions 32 to 601 of the family's 1831-position model. The record is from RNAcentral. Lineage: Eukaryota; Metazoa; Arthropoda; Insecta; Coleoptera; Dytiscidae. RNAcentral also lists the same sequence under 2 other names.
UUGUCUCAAAGAUUAAGCCAUGCAUGUCUCAGUACAAGCCACAUUAAGGUGAAACCGCGAAAGGCUCAUUAAAUCAGUUAUGGUUCCUUAGAUCGUACCCACGUUACUUGGAUAACUGUGGUAAUUCUAGAGCUAAUACAUGCAAACAGAGCUCCGACCGGAGACGGGAGGAGUGCUUUUAUUAGAUCAAAACCAAUCGGCGGCGGGCGCGUUCGCGCGUCCGUUCGCCGCUCUACCUGGUGACUCUGAAUAACUUUCCGCUGAUCGCACGGUCUCGCACCGGCGACGUAUCUUUCAAAUGUCUGCCUUAUCAACUGUCGAUGGUAGGUUCUGCGCCUACCAUGGUCGUAACGGGUAACGGGGAAUCAGGGUUCGAUUCCGGAGAGGGAGCCUGAGAAACGGCUACCACAUCCAAGGAAGGCAGCAGGCGCGCAAAUUACCCACUCCCGGCACGGGGAGGUAGUGACGAAAAAUAACGAUACGGGACUCAUCCGAGGCCCCGUAAUCGGAAUGAGUACACUUUAAAUCCUUUAACGAGGACCAAUUGGAGGGCAAGUCUGGUGCCAGCAGCCGCGGUAAUUCCAGCUCCAAUAGCGUA